GGUUGUAUAGUGUAGUGGUUAUCACCUUGGAUUCUGACUCUUUCCAGUAACCCCGGUUCGAGUCCGGGUAUGACCU
RNAcentral lists this transfer RNA (76 nucleotides) under Yarrowia sp. B02. RNAcentral describes it as "tRNA-Gln". It matches the Rfam family "tRNA". From Rfam's summary of the family: Transfer RNA (tRNA) molecules are approximately 80 nucleotides in length. Their secondary structure includes four short double-helical elements and three loops (D, anti-codon, and T loops). Further hydrogen bonds mediate the characteristic L-shaped molecular structure. tRNAs have two regions of fundamental functional importance: the anti-codon, which is responsible for specific mRNA codon recognition, and the 3' end, to which the tRNAs corresponding amino acid is attached (by aminoacyl-tRNA synthetases). tRNAs cope with the degeneracy of the genetic code in two manners: having more than one tRNA (with a specific anti-codon) for a particular amino acid; and 'wobble' base-pairing, i.e. permitting non-standard base-pairing at the 3rd anti-codon position. The record is from RNAcentral. Lineage: Eukaryota; Fungi; Ascomycota; Dipodascomycetes; Dipodascales.